This 169-nucleotide ribosomal RNA is filed under the name uncultured Roseobacter sp. RNAcentral describes it as "partial 16S ribosomal RNA". It matches the Rfam family "Bacterial small subunit ribosomal RNA", at positions 338 to 524 of the family's 1533-position model. Lineage: Bacteria; Pseudomonadati; Pseudomonadota; Alphaproteobacteria; Rhodobacterales; Roseobacteraceae. RNAcentral also lists the same sequence under 1 other name. The record is from RNAcentral.
CCUACGGGAGGCAGCAGUGGGGAAUCUUAGACAAUGGGCGCAAGCCUGAUCUAGCCAUGCCGCGUGAGUGAUGAAGGCCUUAGGGUCGUAAAGCUCUUUCGCCAGAGAUGAUAAUGACAGUAUCUGGUAAAGAAACCCCGGCUAACUCCGUGCCAGCAGCCGCGGUAAU